RNAcentral lists this small RNA (357 nucleotides) under Arabidopsis thaliana (thale cress). Its description in RNAcentral is "ATSL015140". The record is from RNAcentral. Lineage: Eukaryota; Viridiplantae; Streptophyta; Magnoliopsida; Brassicales; Brassicaceae.
UUUUUUUUAACACUCAAAAUUUACUUCAAAAAAGUUCUAAAAAUUGCCUUUUUUUUUUUUCAAAUAACAAAAGGUCCAAACAAAAACAAAUUCCCGUAAUACACAAAUUUAUGUUGGGUCGGGGCUGGACACUCAGUGUCAGUUGAAAGUUUAAGCAUAUUUAUAACUUAAUACUGAAGUUCCAUAAGUUUAUUGAUGAAUGUGAUAAGUUUGUCUCAAUGUAACAGCUCGAGAUCCACUCAAUGUAGCAGCUAUGUUCUCCAGAUUCAUUCGUGUUUGUAAAAAAUGAAAACUAGAGGUGGCUUGAUUGUUCGACGAGUAUUGUUCCAGGAAGCAGCCGUCUUACUUCUUUUCAAU